This 253-nucleotide ribosomal RNA is filed under the name uncultured Eubacteriales bacterium. Its description in RNAcentral is "uncultured Clostridiales bacterium partial 16S ribosomal RNA". It matches the Rfam family "Bacterial small subunit ribosomal RNA", at positions 524 to 776 of the family's 1533-position model. The record is from RNAcentral. Lineage: Bacteria; Bacillati; Bacillota; Clostridia; Eubacteriales.
UACGGAGGAUGCGAGCGUUAUCCGGAUUUACUGGGUGUAAAGGGAGCGUAGACGGCAGCGCAAGUCUGGAGUGAAAUCCCAUGGCUUAACCAUGGAACUGCAUCUAAAACUGCAUAGCUGGAGUGCAGGAGAGGUGAGUGGAAUUCCUAGUGUAGCGGUGGAAUGCGUAGAUAUUAGGAGGAACACCAGAGGCGAAGGCGACUCACUGGACUGUAACUGACGCUGAGGCUCGAAAGCGUGGGGAGCAAACAGG